This 331-nucleotide unclassified non-coding RNA is filed under the name soil metagenome. RNAcentral's name for it is "partial contains 5.8S ribosomal RNA, internal transcribed spacer 2, and large subunit ribosomal RNA". The stretch from base 1 to 120 matches the Rfam family "5.8S ribosomal RNA", at positions 35 to 154 of the family's 154-position model. The record is from RNAcentral.
GAUGAAGAACGUAGCGAAAUGCGAUACGUAAUGUGAAUUGCAGAUUUCAGUGAAUCAUCGAAUCUUUGAACGCACAUUGCGCCCGCCAGUAUUCUGGCGGGCAUGCCUGUUCGAGCGUCAUUUCAACCAUCAAGCGCCUCGCUUGUGUUGGGGCCCUGCGGCUGCCGCAGGCCCCUAAAUCCAGUGGCGGGCUCGUCGUCGUACCGAGUGCAGUAAACAUCCUCGCUCAGGGAACCCGACGGGUGCCGGCCGUGAAACCCCCCCUCCUCAAGGUUGACCUCGGAUCAGGUAGGGUUACCCGCUGAACUUAAGCAUAUCAAUAAGCGGAGGA